Molecule: ribosomal RNA, 432 nt
Filed under: uncultured fungus
Lineage: Eukaryota; Fungi
Description: partial small subunit ribosomal RNA
Rfam family: Eukaryotic small subunit ribosomal RNA
Source: RNAcentral
GCUUGUCUCAAAGAUUAAGCCAUGCAUGUCUAAGUACAAGCCGCUAGUUCGGCGAAACCGCGAAUGGCUCAAUAAAUCAGUUAUGGUUCCUUAGAUCCACUCCAUCCUACUUGGAUAACUGUGGUAAUUCUAGAGCUAAUACAUGCACUCGAGCCUCGACCGAGGCCCCGGCAACGGGGUCGCGGAAGAGGCUCGAGUGCAUGUAUUAGAUAAAGCCAACGCUGGGUAAAACCAGUUUCCCUUGGUGAUUCAUAAUAAUUAAGCGGAUCGCAUGGCCUUGUGCUAGCGACAGUCCACUCGAUUUUCUGCCCUAUCAUGGUUGAGAUUGUAAGAUAGAGGCUUACAAUGCCUACAACGGGUAACGGGGAAUUAGGGUUCGAUUCCGGAGAGGGAGCCUGAGAAACGGCUACCACAUCCAAGGAAGGCAGCAGG